Molecule: non-coding RNA, 28 nt
Filed under: Mus musculus (house mouse)
Lineage: Eukaryota; Metazoa; Chordata; Mammalia; Rodentia; Muridae
Source: RNAcentral
UUAGUGAUUUGUAAUAAGGACUCAAGGA